RNAcentral lists this ribosomal RNA (761 nucleotides) under Providencia rettgeri. RNAcentral describes it as "partial 23S ribosomal RNA". It matches the Rfam family "Bacterial large subunit ribosomal RNA", at positions 617 to 1376 of the family's 2925-position model. Lineage: Bacteria; Pseudomonadati; Pseudomonadota; Gammaproteobacteria; Enterobacterales; Morganellaceae. The record is from RNAcentral.
GGGUCAGCGACUUAUAUUCUGUAGCAAGGUUAACCGUAUAGGGGAGCCGUAGGGAAACCGAGUCUUAACUGGGCGAAUGAGUUGCAGGGUAUAGACCCGAAACCCGGUGAUCUAGCCAUGGGCAGGUUGAAGGUUGGGUAACACUAACUGGAGGACCGAACCGACUAAUGUUGAAAAAUUAGCGGAUGACUUGUGGCUGGGGGUGAAAGGCCAAUCAAACCGGGAGAUAGCUGGUUCUCCCCGAAAGCUAUUUAGGUAGCGCCUCGUGAACUCAUCUUCGGGGGUAGAGCACUGUUUCGACUAGGGGGUCAUCCCGACUUACCAACUCGAUGCAAACUACGAAUACCGAAGAAUGUUAUCACGGGAGACACACGGCGGGUGCUAACGUUCGUCGUGAAGAGGGAAACAACCCAGACCGCCAGCUAAGGUCCCAAAGUCAUAGUUAAGUGGGAAACGAAGUGGGAAGGCUCAGACAGCCAGGAUGUUGGCUUAGAAGCAGCCAUCAUUUAAAGAAAGCGUAAUAGCUCACUGGUCGAGUCGGCCUGCGCGGAAGAUGUAACGGGGCUAAACUAUGCACCGAAGCUGCGGCAGCGAUAUGUAAAUAUUGUUGGGUAGGGGAGCGUUCUGUAAGCCUGUGAAGGUGUACUGUGAGGUAUGCUGGAGGUAUCAGAAGUGCGAAUGCUGACAUAAGUAACGAUAAUGCGGGUGAAAAACCCGCACGCCGGAAGACCAAGGGUUCCUGUCCAACGUUAAUCGGGGCA